CCUACGGGUGGCUGCAGUAGGGAAUCUUCCACAAUGGACGAAAGUCUGAUGGAGCAACGCCGCGUGAGUGAAGAAGGCUUUCGGUUUGUAAAGCUCUGUUGGUAGGGAAGAAAAUUACAGUACGUAAUUGGCCUUUACUGGACCGUAAUUACUUAGACAGUCCCGUCUAACGUCGGGCGAGAAGGCGCUGCGAUACGUAUGGGGGAAGCGUGGGCCGGGUUUGCUGGGCGUAAAUGGAGUGCAGGCGGUUGAAUAAGUCUGAUGUGAAAGUCGUCGGCUCAACCGGGGAAUUGCAUCGGAAACUGUGGAACUGGAGUGCAGGAGAGGUAAGUGGAAGUCCUGGUGUAGCGGUGGAAUGCGUAGAUAUAAGGAAGAACACCAGUGGCGAAGGCGGCUUACUGGACUGAAACUGACGCUGAGGCUCGAAAGCGUGGGGAGCAAACAGGAUUAGAUACCCCAGUAGUC
Molecule: ribosomal RNA, 465 nt
Filed under: uncultured bacterium
Lineage: Bacteria
Description: partial 16S ribosomal RNA
Rfam family: Bacterial small subunit ribosomal RNA
Source: RNAcentral